AACGAACGCUGGCGGCAGGCCUAACACAUGCAAGUCGAGCGGACCUUUCGGGGUCAGCGGCGGACGGGUGAGUAACGCGUGGGAAUAUGCCCUUCUCUACGGAAUAGUCCUGGGAAACUGGGGGUAAUACCGUAUACGCCCUUUGGGGGAAAGAUUUAUCGGGGAAGGAUUAGCCCGCGUUGGAUUAGGUAGUUGGUGGGGUAAUGGCCUACCAAGCCGACGAUCCAUAGCUGGUUUGAGAGGAUGAUCAGCCACACUGGGACUGAGACACGGCCCAGACUCCUACGGGAGGCAGCAGUGGGGAAUCUUAGACAAUGGGGGCAACCCUGAUCUAGCCAUGCGCGUGAGUGAUGAAGGCCUUAGGGUUGUAAAGCUCUUUCAGCUGGGAAGAUAAUGACGGUACCAGCAGAAGAAGCCCCGGCUAACUCCGUG
Molecule: ribosomal RNA, 432 nt
Filed under: uncultured bacterium
Lineage: Bacteria
Description: partial 16S ribosomal RNA
Rfam family: Bacterial small subunit ribosomal RNA
Source: RNAcentral